This 459-nucleotide ribosomal RNA is filed under the name uncultured bacterium. Its description in RNAcentral is "partial 16S ribosomal RNA". It matches the Rfam family "Bacterial small subunit ribosomal RNA", at positions 338 to 795 of the family's 1533-position model. The record is from RNAcentral.
CCUACGGGAGGCAGCAGUGAGGAAUAUUGGUCAAUGGACGAGAGUCUGAACCAGCCAAGUAGCGUGAAGGAUGACUGCCCUAUGGGUUGUAAACUUCUUUUAUAUGGGAAUAAAACGUUCCACGUGUGGGAUUUUGUAUGUACAUAUGAAUAAGGAUCGGCUAACUCCGUGCCAGCAGCCGCGGUAAGUCGGAGGAUCCGGGCGUUAUCCGGAUUUAUUGGGGUUUAAGGGAGCGUAGGUGGAUUGUUAAGUCAGUUGUGAAAGUUGGCGGCUCAACCGUAAAAUUGCAGUUGAAACUGGCAGUCUUGAGUACAGUAGAGGUGGGCGGAAUUCGGGGUGUAGCGGUGAAAUGCUGAGAUAUCACGAAGAACUCCGAUUGCGAAGGCAGUUCACUGGACUGCAACUGACACUGAGGCUCGAAAGUGUGGGUAUCAAACAGGAUUAGAUACCCCAGUAGUC